RNAcentral lists this long non-coding RNA (474 nucleotides) under Amborella trichopoda. RNAcentral describes it as "long non-coding RNA (ATRI_LNC004571)". The record is from RNAcentral. Lineage: Eukaryota; Viridiplantae; Streptophyta; Magnoliopsida; Amborellales; Amborellaceae.
UGCAUGUUGUGUGUUGGUACACGAAUGAAGCUUUGGCCCCGGUCUCUAAAGGCCUUCAUCACACACAAAAACCACACGGUCCCUCGACUCACUCAUCUCAACAUACUCCGACCUCAAGAGAUGGCCCAUUAUUACAUUUAUCUGUUUAAUCUCUAUGUCCAGAUAACAUGGGUAGCAUACUCCAACCUGAUACAUUAUAACCCUUAUCGGUUUAAUCUCUAUAUCUAUAUAACAUAGAUUUUUUCCAACCAACUAGCCUAGCUCGUCAAGCUGAGUCUGGUAUCAGUAAACAUCAUUUGUUUGGUAUGGUCCACACAUGACCAGAAAAGAGAGGAACGAUCGCAAAUAAAGAGAAAUUCGAGAUAGUAACGAAUUAUGGAUUGAGAGAUAGAUUAUCGGUUUCAAGAGUGGGGCAAUCCUCUUGGAAGUGGGGGUUUUAGUUGGAGAUCAUAUUUCCAUAUGAUGGUAUGAUAU